This 856-nucleotide non-coding RNA is filed under the name Pan troglodytes (chimpanzee). The record is from RNAcentral. Lineage: Eukaryota; Metazoa; Chordata; Mammalia; Primates; Hominidae.
CCCGGGGCUGCCCAGGGCUGCGGGCUCCAGGCACCCAGAGCGCUGCGACCACAUGAAAGGCCCGGCGCUCAGCACCCGCCAGCCACCUCCAGCUGGUUUCUAACUACACCGCCGGGGCCUCCAUGCUUCUCAGGGACCAGCCUUCGAAGUGCCGCCUUACACCCGGGGCCUGGCCACCGGGCGGGCGCGGAUGGAGCUCUGGUCCACAUUUGGGAGCUCACAGUUGUUCCUGCCAGGAACCAGCCAGAACAGGAGGCAGCCAGGGAGAGGGGAGCCAGGGAGAACGCAGCCUCAGUCCUGGAAGGAGAGGGCCUGCUGGGAAGAACAGAACCCAGCUGUCUUGGCCCCAGAUGUGGAAGCCGAGACUUAAAGAAGCUAUGAAACUUGAUCAGGUCAUGCAGCGCCAGAGGACCCAAGGUGGGAUCUCAACCCAGACUGUUUGGCUCCAAAGCUGAACUGCUACAUUAUGUUGCUUCAGCAAACAGUCAUUCAGAGACAAUGGGCUUUAGAGGAGUUUAUUGAUGUUACUAACAAACAUAAGUACCUUGUACUAACCUCCUGGUGCCCAAGUGUUUGAGGUGAGAAAAACGGAAACAUGAAAAGCCCAGAGAGGUAAAGUGACUGGCUCAAGCAAAUACAGGCUCCAGCUGCAGCCACUUUGAAGAUAAAGUUUCCUCCAUAGAAAUUCUGCAAUACAGAUGUCCUUCCGCGGUCCCCGUUCAGUCCUGCACCAGUUCCUUUUCCCACUGGGAAAUUUCUUUCCUCUUCCUACUUCCAUGCAACUGCGAGGCAAGGCUCAAGCCCACUUCCUUCUCCUUUUCCUGUGUCUCCCUGUGGAAGGAGCUCCCUCUUCUUC